CCCCGUCAUCGGAUGAUCUAAGCCAUGCGAGUCAUUGUAGUAAUACAAGGCAGACGGCUCAGUAACGCGUACUCUUCCUACCCUAUGGACGGGAAUAACCUCGGGAAACUGACCUUAAUGCCCGAUAGAACACUAUGCCUGGAAUGGUUUGUGUUCCAAAUGAUUUAUCGCCGUAGGAUGGGACUGCGCCCUAUCAGUUUGUUGGUGAGGUAAUGGCCCACCAAGACUAUUACAGGUACGGGCUCUGAGAGGAGUGGCCCGGAGAUGGGUACUGAGACACGGACCCAGGCCCUAUGUCGCGCAGCAUGCGAGAAAACUUUGCUAUGUGCGACAGCACGACAAGGAUAAUCCGAGUGGUUUCUGCUAAAGGAACCUUUUGUCGGUCCUAGAAACACCGAUGAAUAAGGGGUGGUCGAGUUCUGGUGUCAGCCGCCGCGGUAAAACCAGCUCCUCAAGUGGUCAGGAUGAUUAUUGGGCCUAAAGCAUCCGGAGCCUGGUUUGUUAGUUUUCGGUUAAAUCUGUACGCUCAACGUACAGGCUGCCGGGAAUACUGCAAAGCUAGGGAGUGGGAGAGGUAGACGGUACUCGGUAGGAAGGGGUAAAAUCCUUUGAUCUAUUGAUGAACACGUGUGGCGAAGGCGGUCUACCAGAACACGUCCGAAGGUGAGGGAUGAAAGCUGGUUGAUCCAAACGGAUUACCCCCCCGGGUAGUCCCACCUGUAAUACUAUGCCAACUCAGAGAUGCCUUGCCUUGUGGGCAAUGAAAUGAUGCAAGGAAUUUCUUUAUGUUUGCCGCCUGGUAAGUUC
This 807-nucleotide ribosomal RNA is filed under the name uncultured archaeon. RNAcentral's name for it is "bacterial SSU rRNA". It matches the Rfam family "Archaeal small subunit ribosomal RNA", at positions 25 to 838 of the family's 1478-position model. The record is from RNAcentral.